UACGUAGGGGGCAAGCGUUGUCCGGAAUCAUUGGGCGUAAAGCGCGUGUAGGCGGCUCAAUAAGUCUGCUGUGAAAGUUCAGGGCUCAACCCUGAAAUGCCGGUGGAAACUGUCGGGCUAGAGUCCGGAAGAGGCGAGUGGAAUUCCUGGUGUAGCGGUGAAAUGCGCAGAUAUCAGGAGGAACACCAAUGGCGAAGGCAGCUCGCUGGGACGGUACUGACGCUGAGACGCGAAAGCGUGGGGAGCAAACAGG
Molecule: ribosomal RNA, 253 nt
Filed under: uncultured bacterium
Lineage: Bacteria
Description: partial 16S ribosomal RNA
Rfam family: Bacterial small subunit ribosomal RNA
Source: RNAcentral